Molecule: long non-coding RNA, 277 nt
Filed under: Homo sapiens (human)
Lineage: Eukaryota; Metazoa; Chordata; Mammalia; Primates; Hominidae
Description: HSALNT0248843
Source: RNAcentral
CUUUCUCUGGGCUGGUGUGUGAAGCUCCGAAUCUGUGACCUCACUAGAAUCAGUGUGCGCAAGGGGAUCAGCAAUGCAGGGCAAAGGUGACUGGUGAGACACACGUCUACACAAACGCAUACAGUAGUAAGUAAGUGCUGCUCCACCAAGCUGAGAAGAAAUGGCCCUUGGCUGUCCUCGGGGCCAGUGCUAGGAACUCUGGACCAGCCGUCUGUAGUGGGGCAUGACUUCGUGCUCGGGCAAGUGGAGGGCGAAUUCCAAGGCCACUAACACCGGG